Molecule: ribosomal RNA, 460 nt
Filed under: uncultured bacterium
Lineage: Bacteria
Description: bacterial SSU rRNA
Rfam family: Bacterial small subunit ribosomal RNA
Source: RNAcentral
CUACGGGAGGCAGCAGUGGGGAAUCUUGGACAAUGGAGGAAACUCUGAUCCAGCCAUCCCGCGUGCAGGAUGAAGGCCCUACGGGUUGUAAACUGCUUUUGUUAGGGAAGAACUCCUCUCUUUUAAGAGAGGCUGACGGUACCUUUCGAAUAAGCACCGGCUAACUCCGUGCCAGCAGCCGCGGUAAUACGGAAGGUGCAAGCGUUAUCCGGAAUUACUGGGUUUAAAGGGUGCGUAGGCGGCGCAGUAAGUCAGAGGUGAAAGGCCGUGGCUCAACCAUGGAAUUGCCUUUGAUACUGUCGCGCUUGAAUCAGGUUGAGGACAGCGGAAUGUGGCAUGUAGCGGUGAAAUGCAUAGAUAUGCCAUAGAACACCGAUUGCGAAGGCAGCUGUCUGGGCCUGGAUUGACGCUGAGGCACGAAAGCGUGGGGAGCGAACAGGAUUAGAUACCCCUGUAGUCC